GAUGAACGCUGGCGGCGUGCCUAAUACAUGCAAGUCGAGCGAACAGACGAGGAGCUUGCUCCUCUGACGUUAGCGGCGGACGGGUGAGUAACACGUGGAUAACCUACCUAUAAGACUGGGAUAACUUCGGGAAACCGGAGCUAAUACCGGAUAAUAUAUUGAACCGCAUGGUUCAAUAGUGAAAGACGGUUUUGCUGUCACUUAUAGAUGGAUCCGCGCCGCAUUAGCUAGUUGGUAAGGUAACGGCUUACCAAGGCAACGAUGCGUAGCCGACCUGAGAGAGGGAUCGGCCACACUGGAAGUGGGACACGGUCCAGACUCCUACGGGAGGCAGCAGUAGGGAAUCUUCCGCAAUGGGCGAAAGCUUGACGGAGCAACGCCGCGUGAGUGAUGAAGGUCUUCGGAUCGUAAAACUCUGUUAUUAGGGAAGAACAAAUGUGUAAGUAACUAUGCACGUCUUGACGGUACCUAAUCAGAAAGCCACGGCUAACUACGUG
This 497-nucleotide ribosomal RNA is filed under the name uncultured bacterium. RNAcentral describes it as "partial 16S ribosomal RNA". It matches the Rfam family "Bacterial small subunit ribosomal RNA", at positions 28 to 507 of the family's 1533-position model. The record is from RNAcentral.